AUGAUAAAAAAUAAAGUAAAAGGAUAGAAAAGUGUAUAUUAUGAAAAGGGAAACCAAAAAAAGCUAGAGGGGCUAUACUUAUGAGACAAAGUAGACUUUGAAACAAAAAAAAUUAAUGCCCCACUUUCAAUAACAGAUAGAACUAGACAUGAGAUGAGUAAGUAAAUGGAAGACUUGAACAACACUUUAAAUCACUAGACAUAACAGACAUUUAUUGAACAUUCCACCCAACAACAGAAUAUAGAUUCUUCUCAAGUAUGCAUGGAACGUUUUCCAGGACAGACUAUGUGCUAGGCCAAAAACAACCAUAAAUAAAUUAAAAGGAUAAAAAUAUUACAUUAUGUUCUCUAAUCACAUUAGACUAAAAUCAGAAAUCAAUAACAAGAAAAAUCUGGGAAACAAAUAUGUAUGUGGAAAUUAAGCAACAUAUUCUUGAAUAAUAAAUGAAUUAAAAGGGAAAAAAUAAAAAAGGAAAUUAGAAAAUACUUUGAGAGAAAUAGAGAUACAACAUUCCCAAACUUAUGGGGCACAGCUAAAACAGUACUUAGAGGUCAAUUACAGUGUAAAUGUCUGUGUUAAGGAAGAGCAAACAUCUCAAAUCAAUAUUCUAAACUUCAAAAUCAGGACA
Molecule: long non-coding RNA, 628 nt
Organism: Phyllostomus discolor (pale spear-nosed bat)
Lineage: Eukaryota; Metazoa; Chordata; Mammalia; Chiroptera; Phyllostomidae
Exons: 2
Source: RefSeq, a predicted model, not a curated record